GACGAACGCUGGCGGCGUGCUUAACACAUGCAAGUCGAACGGAAAGGCCCUGCUUUUGUGGGGUGCUCGAGUGGCGAACGGGUGUGUAUCACGUGAGUAACCUGCCCUUGACUUUGGGAUAACUUCAGGGAACUGGGGCUCAUACCGGGUAGGAUCUCCUGCUGCAUGUUGGGGGUUGGAAAGUUUCGGCUGUUGUGGAUGGACUCGCGGCUUAUCAGCUUGUUUGUGGGGUAGUGGCUUACCAAGGCUUUGACGGGUAGCCGGCCUGGGAGGGUGACCGGCCACAUGGGGACUGCGAUACGGAGCAGACGCCUACCGGAGGCAGAAGUGGGGAACAUUGCAGAACGGGCGGAAGCCUGAUGCAGCAACGCCGCGUGCGGGAUGACGGCCUUCGGGUUGUAAACCGCUUUCGCCUGUGACGAAGCGUGAGUGACGGUAAUGGGUAAAGAAGCACCGGCUAACUACGUG
This 468-nucleotide ribosomal RNA is filed under the name uncultured bacterium. Its description in RNAcentral is "partial 16S ribosomal RNA". It matches the Rfam family "Bacterial small subunit ribosomal RNA", at positions 28 to 507 of the family's 1533-position model. The record is from RNAcentral.